UUUUAUGAAGGUUUUUAACUUUUGAACUAGGUGUUGGCUUAAAUGGGCCAGCAUCCUGCCCUGUGGCGGGAGGCUAUGUGGGCCGAGUAAUGUUCGAAAUGGCGUGAGGCUGGGUUGGGCCGAGUCAUGUUCGAAGUGGCGUGAGGCCAGGUUGGCCGAGUCACAAUCGAGACCCGUAGGCGCUGUUUCUGUACGCUUUAAGUGAAUUGAUUGCGUAUUUCUAAUAGCUCGAGUUUUUGGGAUUAAUGGUUAACGCCAACGAUCCGACAAGUGGUAUCAGAGCCAGAGGUCACGGGUUCGAUUCCUAUAUGCUGCAAAUGUGUGGAGGUGCUAAAGGGGGAAUUGUUGGCUUAAAUGGGCCAGCAUUCUGCCCUGUGGCGGGAGGCUAUGUGGGCCGAGUUAUGUUCGAAAUGGCGUGAGGUUGGGUUGGGCCGAGUCAUGCUCGAAGUGGCGUGAGGCCAGUUUGGCCUAGUCACAAUCGAGAUCCGUGGGCGCUGUUUCUGUACGCUUUAAGUGAAUUAAUUGCGUAUUUCUAACAGUUCGAACUUUUGGGAUUAAUGGUUAGCGCCAACGAUCCGACAACUGGUACAUUCCAAAAUAACUCUGACUCUAACAUCUUUACCCUUGGCCAUGAACCUCCUUUAGAUUUUGGAUCGAUUUGAGGAUUGUUGGCUUAAAUGGGCCAGCAUCCUGCCCUGUGGCGGGAGGCCAUAUGGGCCGAGUUAUGUUCAAAGUGGCGUGAGGUAAGGUGGGCCGAGAAAAUUUUGGCUUCAUUUGGGAUGUAAUGUAACAUUUUGCAUAUCGCGAUGAGUCGGUUAUAAUAUAUUUUUCUGCGGUCCUAUCAGAGAACGUAGCUUUUAGCUUUUAUCUGGAACAACUACUUUACUUAUUAAGGCUUAGGCUUUGUUUGGGAUUGCGGGUGCGGUGGAAAUCGGCAUAUUGCGAUGAGUUGGUUACGAUAUAUUUUUUGCGGUCUCAUCGUAGAAUGCAUAAGUAUAUCCCUAUAUGCUUUUUCCUCAACUCCAUUUUAUCUAAUAACGUUAGAGAUGUCUCAAUACCAAACUAAGCCUUAGUCCAAUAGCUAAAAUAUUCUAGUAACUUAAUCAUUAAUUAGGGUCCCCACAAUCCUAACACACUAUAAAAUU
This 1145-nucleotide long non-coding RNA is filed under the name Ananas comosus (pineapple). RNAcentral's name for it is "long non-coding RNA (ACOM_LNC044591)". Lineage: Eukaryota; Viridiplantae; Streptophyta; Magnoliopsida; Poales; Bromeliaceae. The record is from RNAcentral.